This 379-nucleotide ribosomal RNA is filed under the name uncultured Burkholderia sp. Its description in RNAcentral is "partial 16S ribosomal RNA". It matches the Rfam family "Bacterial small subunit ribosomal RNA", at positions 967 to 1348 of the family's 1533-position model. The record is from RNAcentral. Lineage: Bacteria; Pseudomonadati; Pseudomonadota; Betaproteobacteria; Burkholderiales; Burkholderiaceae.
AACCNUACCUACCCUUNACAUGGACGGAAUCCCGCUGAGAGGUGGGNGUGCUCGAAAGAGAACCGUCGCACAGGUGCUGCAUGGCUGUCGUCAGCUCGUGUCGUGAGAUGUUGGGUUAAGUCCCGCAACGAGCGCAACCCUUGUCCUUAGUUGCUACGCAAGGGCACUNUAAGGAGACUGCCGGUGACAAACCCGGAGGAAGGUGGGGAUGACNUCAAGUCNUCAUGGCCCUUAUGGGUAGGGCUUCACACGUCAUACAAUGGUCGGAACAGAGGGUUGCCAACCCGCGAGGGGGAGCUAAUCCCAGAAAACCGAUCGUAGUCCGGAUUGCACUCUGCAAUCUCGAGUGCAUGAAGCUGGAAUCGCUUANUANUGCGCG